Molecule: ribosomal RNA, 254 nt
Filed under: uncultured bacterium
Lineage: Bacteria
Description: partial 16S ribosomal RNA
Rfam family: Bacterial small subunit ribosomal RNA
Source: RNAcentral
UACGUAGGGGGCAAGCGUUGUCCGGAAUCAUUGGGCGUAAAGCGCGUGUAGGCGGCUGAGUAAGUCUGCUCUGAAAGCCCGGGGCUCAACCCCGGGAGGCGGGUGGAUACUGCUCAGCUCGAGUCCGGAAGAGGAGUGUGGAAUUCCUGGUGUAGCGGUGAAAUGCGCAGAUAUCAGGAGGAACACCAAUGGCGAAGGCAGCACUCUGGGACGGUACUGGACGCUGAGACGCGAAAGCGUGGGGAGCAAACAGG